UUGGGAAUAUUGGACAAUGGGCGAAAGCCUGAUCCAGCAAUGCCGCGUGAGUGAUGAAGGCCUUCGGGUCGUAAAGCUCUUUUAGCAGGGAAAAAGGGAAACUUGAUGGUACCUGCAGAAAAAGCACCGGCUAACUCCGUGCCAGCAGCCGCGGUAAUACGGAGGGUGCAAGCGUUGUUCGGAAUUAUUGGGCGUAAAGCGCGUGUAGGCGGUUGCCUAAGUCUGGUGUGAAAGCCCGGAACUUAACUCCGGAAGUGCACUGGAUACUGGGCGACUAGAGGGCGAGAGAGGAUGGUGGAAUUCCUGGUGUAGGGGUGAAAUCCGUAGAUAUCAGGAGGAACAUCAGUGGCGAAGGCGGCCAUCUGGCUCGUUUCUGACGCUGAGACGCGAAAGCGUGGGGAGCAAACAGG
Molecule: ribosomal RNA, 410 nt
Filed under: uncultured bacterium
Lineage: Bacteria
Description: bacterial SSU rRNA
Rfam family: Bacterial small subunit ribosomal RNA
Source: RNAcentral